Molecule: long non-coding RNA, 2658 nt
Organism: Armigeres subalbatus
Lineage: Eukaryota; Metazoa; Arthropoda; Insecta; Diptera; Culicidae
Exons: 5
Source: RefSeq, a predicted model, not a curated record
UGCAUAUGAAUUGAUGGAAAAAGUAAAAUCUAUCCACCUAAAGUGCUAUUUUGACCUCUCUUAUGUGUUUUUCUUAUUUUUUUUUUUAAUGCGCGAGAAAGGCACCACCAACGCUAGGUGGAUUGAUCUGGGUUUUUAUUUAUAUCUUGUCUUUUGUAGUGCACGUUAGAGGAGCUUUACGGAUUUAUGCAAAGCUACAUCGAAAAGGUGUGAAACAUUCGGAGUCAGAAAUAAAUAAUCCUAUGAGCGCUGAAGUUAUAUUCGCUGCGCCACUGGUGAAAUGGACACAGGAUAUCAACGAGCACAUCAAAGAAGCUUAUGACGAUCCGCAUAUCGCCUGUGUGGCGGACACGUUCAAAACAGGCUUGUACCAUAUUGUAUUUCAGGACGUUAUUCUUUGGACGAACGAUUCAUUUGUCAAUUCGCUUGAUGUAUUUUGGAAAUGUUUUCAUGUAUUCGGACGAAAAGUGCCCAACAUUCUGCAAAAGUAUCAAGAAAAUCCUGGAAAAAUCUGGGAGUUUUAAUUUUGAAGAUCAAUCGCCCCCUGCCAAAGGAAUCAUCGAAGGAUUUUUUGCAGAAUUCUCGGAGGAAUCAUCGCAGGGUUUAGAAAGAGGUCCCGCAGAAUCCCCGAAGGUUGCAGCGCAAGAUGUCCGCAGUUAUCCCCAGAGGAUUCCCGCAGGAUUUCCGAAGGAACUCCCUUCAGAAAUAUUUUUUUGAAGAAUUCUCGAAGUAAUCCCCACAGGAUAUCCAAAGAAAUCUUCGUAGGAUUCCCGAAGCAUUCAACACAGGAUUUCAGAAGGAAUUCCCAAAUAAAUCCCUAUAGGAUAUCCGAAGGAAUCCCCGAAAUAUUCCCGAUAGAAUACCUGCAAAAUUUCCGCAGGAUUCCACAAAAGAUUCAAAAUGGAAUCCCUGCUAAAUUCCCGGAGAAAUCAUCGCAAGGUUCCCGAAUAAGUCCCCAUAAGAUUUCCGAAGGAUUCAGCACAGGACUCCCGCAGGAAUUCUCACAGGAUUCCCGCAGGAAUUAUUGCAGGAUUCCCAAAGAAAUUCCCGCAUGAUUUCUAAAGGAAUCCUCUCAGGACUCAGAAGCGAGUCCCCGCAGAAUUCUCGUAGAAAUCUUUCUAGGAUUUCCGAAGAAAUCUUCCAAGUACAUUCUCUUGAAACGCUCUUAAAGGUUUCCAAAGGAUUGUUCGUAAUAUUCUUGAAAGCCUCUUUCCAGGACGCUCUAAAGAAAUCGUCCUUAAUUGUUGUAACCUUUGUACAUUGAUUUUUGAAAGAAACCCUCCAUAAUUUUCGAAAAAUUUCGACUAGAUUUUACAAGGCAUCACAAUUGUAUUCCAACAGGAAUUGCAGCUGAAUUACAAGAGAAAUACCACCCUGAAAUCCUUCUGGAAUCCAGAAUUUCUUCUAAAAAUCCAGUAAGGAUUUUAACUGCAGAGGUGAGAGAAUUGCAUUAUCCUCGCCUACAUCGCAAAACCGUAAGGAUAGUUCGAGAAAUCGCCAGCUAAAAUUAGUACCUAUUAUUGAACACCCAUAAAAAUGCACGUAGGUUCAACAGGCAAAAAACCUUUACUCAGACACAGAUUAACGCAUUAACUAGAACCCGAGCAUUUCUCGUAAUAUAGAUUCAGUCGUAAUUUCCAUAAAUUCAAUAAUAAAUUCAAAAUAGUUAUUCAUUGAAUAUAAUACCUAUUUGCAUUGCAGAUUUGUAGCUGUAGAGCAUUACGCCGGAUAAAAUAAUCAACUAAUUAGCACCGUUGCGAACCAUUCGUAGGAGCCACUGCAAUUGGCAGUCAUUUCCGAUCAUUGCUUUCUGGUGAUGUUACGAUGAUGCCGUUAUAUCCAAUUUCGUCUUUUCUGGUGCCUGGUGACUCCCCCGCGUGCAUCUCACUAAUCGACAGCCCUAAACCGACAGUUUUCCGGAAUGAAAUCAAACUGUUCUGGAAGAAAUCACUUAAAACUCCAAGCGUUCCCGUUGGAGUCUCUGCUGAACCUUGACAUUCACACUCUAGACUCGCUUGAUUCAUGUCUGGCAUGGUUUUUGCUUCAACAAUACCGCUCGGCAAUCGAUACUUCUCGGAACAAACCCAAAGCCAACUGCACGUGUCAUUCGCCAUUCAGCUAAAAUACCAUUUCCGAAGAACUAGGCAUUCCGAAGCCAACAUACGGGCUGAAUAGUGGUUCGGCUGUAAUCAACAGGCAUGCUUUCUGCUGAAGGUCAAAAACGGUCUCAACCACACGAGAUCAUCAUGGAGCAUAUCGAGGCAGAUGGCGUGAUCAAUGACAUGCCCAAUCCGAAGUUUUUAGCAGUAACUCGAGGAACAAAUUUCCAGCUAGUCUAUCAAGGGUUGAAUGCUGAAAGUGGUGUUUAGAGCUAAACGAGAAAUUUGACCUUAUCAAGGUCACAAGCGACGACGAGGUGUUCAAAAUGUGUCUAGAGGUGCUGAAAUCACAACCAACAUUUGCUCGGUGAUAAAAAUGAUCUCCUAUUCGGAACGUACUUGUUAAGGUCGUUUUCCACGUAGGGUCCACGCAUCAACAGCAGUAAGAGAACUGAGGAAGUUUUUUUUUCAGAAUAUAUCAUAUUCCCGGAUGCAGAUGUUUGAUAUUUUUCUACUAGGGAUUGACGAACAACUCGAUAUACGAUUUAAAAAUGUCUGG